RNAcentral lists this ribosomal RNA (407 nucleotides) under uncultured bacterium. RNAcentral's name for it is "partial 16S ribosomal RNA". It matches the Rfam family "Bacterial small subunit ribosomal RNA", at positions 30 to 526 of the family's 1533-position model. The record is from RNAcentral.
AUUGAACGCUAGCGGGAUGUCUUACACAUGCAAGUCGAACGGAGUGGCGAACGGGUGAGUAAUGUAUCGGAACGUGCCCAGUAGCGGGGGAUAACUACGCGAAAGCGUAGCUAAUACCGCAUACUCUUGGAGCCGCCGAUAUCGGAUUAGCUAGGUGGUGGGGGAACGGCUCACCAAGGCGACGAUCCCUAGCCGGUCUGAGAGGACGACCAGCCACACUGGAACUGAGACACGGCCCAGACUCCUACGGGAGGCAGCAGUGGGGAAUAUUGGACAAUGGGCGAAACCCUGAUCCAGCCAUCCCGCGUGUGCGAUGAAGGCCUUCGGGUUGUAAAGCACUUUUAGCGGGAAAGCGGUACCUGCAGAAUAAGCACCGGCUAACUACGUGCCAGCAGCCGCGGUAAUAC